This is a long non-coding RNA of Rhineura floridana, 320 nucleotides long. RefSeq lists it as uncharacterized. The record is from RefSeq and is a predicted model, not a curated record. The transcript has 3 exons. Lineage: Eukaryota; Metazoa; Chordata; Lepidosauria; Squamata; Rhineuridae.
CAAGUGAUGAAAUGGAAAUGGACUGUCUUCAAGUCGAUCCCGACUUAUGGCUACCUUAUGAAUAGAGUUUUCAUGGUAUAGUUACAUGACGGUUGUUGAGGUGCAUCAGUGCAUUGGUCAGCCAGGGGGAGUGAAUUUUCCUGUCUUGGGUUGAACAGAGCAAAAGUGAGUCUUCCGAGUGUGGUACAAGGGAGACUAAACACAGACUAGCUAAAAUGAUGAAACUGAGGUUAUCAUACUUUGGACACAUCAUGAGAAGACAUGAUUCACUAGAAAAGACAUGAUAAAUCCAUGUUGGGUUCUGGUAAUCGCUGCAUUGU